GCUCAGUCUGCUCCUGGCUUCCUUCGGAUGAAGAUGUAGAACUCUCAGCUCCCCCUGCACCAUGCCUGCCUGGAUGCUGCCCUGCUCCCGCCUUGAUGAUACCAGACUAUACCUUUGAACCUCUAAGCCUGUUUGUUUCCUUUGUUGUUGUUGUUGCUGCUGCUGCUGCUGCUGCUGCUGCUGCUGCUGCUGCUGCUGCUGCUGCUGCUGCUGCUGCUGUUAUUUUUGUUGUUUCCAACACAGGGUUUUACUGUGUAACCCUGGCUGCCCUGGAACUCACUUUGUAGACCAGGCUGACCUCCGGAGUGCUGGGAUUAAAGCAGGUUUUCUUUAGACUAUAACAGCAUUUGAUUGACAUGGAGGCAGAUGGAAAUCUGUUGGGGACUUUCAGCAGAGCCCAUGAACCCAUCUCUGCGCAACUGGCAGGAUUUCCCACGAGGUUGUAAAUCAAGGGACCUGUGGAGAUGUAGCGUCUCCACAAAGGUAUCCUGAGUCCUCCGUGCACUCCCCUCAAAGGCAGCACAAGUCUAAACCCAUCUUUGCCGUGCUGAAGUUGUACCAAAGAAGUCUGGUGUCCUCGUACAAGCCUCCAGAUGACAGAACCCUUGAAUAAAGAAAGAAGCCACCUCUCUGCGAUUAGCAGGAAGAAACUGAUGAUAUCAGCAAGACACUGCCUGCUGCCCACAUUCUGAACCGUAUCUUUGUAAAUGAAAUGCCCAUCCAUUGUUUGCUGCUUGUUUGCUUCUUUGACUGUCCAUCAGGGCCUUGAAUACAUCCAGCUUUUCGACCUCCCGUUCGGCUCACACGGGACCAUCGAAGCACUAAGUCUCUGGGUGAACACACACACAAGUGCGCGCCCUCUGUCCCACAGCCACACUCUGAGGGGAGUGUGAGUGGACCUUGCCUUUUGCAGGACUGUGGACUCCGAAGUGGGGCUUCCCCUUUUCAUACCAGCAAAAUAGGAAGCAGCUAAAUUUUCUCCCAAGAUGAUCUUUAAAGAGCAGAGGGAACAUCCAACAUCUCCCAGGAGGUGUUUAUCCUCCGUGCCGUGCUUCAGCUUGGGGCAUAGUCUGUCUGUCUCCUCACCCUUAAGGACAACACACAUAGACUUUUAAAGGUGAAGUCUUGAUUUAUUGUGACUUGAAUUGCACACUUGACAAUUCUAGCAGGUUCCUGGGACUUGAGGCAUGUUUGUCAUGUUUUGAUGGCCCGGGCCAUUUCCAUCUUGGCUGAAGAGCUGAGAGUGGAAUUUUAACUAUGAAUUUCCUUGUGUUUAAUAAGCUAAGGUCAAAAGGUCAUAGUCUGUUUGCCGAUAUGCAUGAACAGCUUCCAACUGGACUUACUCAUGUGCAUCUGAGUUCAGCUAAAACACCCCGACUCUUAGGCGCUAUUAAAUAAUGUGCCUGAAAACAAAACAAGGCAAACCAACCUUUCUGAGGUGCGUAUAGAACAUAGAAGAAUGAAAAGGCAUGAAUAAAAUAACCAAAACUGUUUACUCUUUUGGGUAAAGUGUUUGGUUUUCCAGGAA
Molecule: non-coding RNA, 1528 nt
Organism: Rattus norvegicus (Norway rat)
Lineage: Eukaryota; Metazoa; Chordata; Mammalia; Rodentia; Muridae
Source: RefSeq, a predicted model, not a curated record